This 372-nucleotide ribosomal RNA is filed under the name uncultured organism. RNAcentral's name for it is "bacterial SSU rRNA". It matches the Rfam family "Bacterial small subunit ribosomal RNA", at positions 526 to 896 of the family's 1533-position model. The record is from RNAcentral.
CAGAGGUCUCAAGCGUUGUUCGGAUUCAUUGGGCGUAAAGGGUGCGUAGGUGGCGCUGUAAGUCGGGUGUGAAAUUUCGGAGCUCAACUCCGAAACUGCAUUCGAUACUGCGGUGCUUGAGGACUGGAGAGGAGACUGGAAUUCAUGGUGUAGCAGUGAAAUGCGUAGAGAUCAUGAGGAAGACCAGUGGCGAAGGCGGGUCUCUGGACAGUUCCUGACACUGAGGCACGAAGGCCAGGGGAGCAAACGGGAUUAGAUACCCCGGUAGUCCUGGCAGUAAACGGUGCACGUUUGGUGUGGGAGGAUUCGACCCCUUCCGCGCCGGAGCUAACGCGUUAAACGUGCCGCCUGGGGAGUACGGUCGCAAGAUUA